This 209-nucleotide unclassified non-coding RNA is filed under the name uncultured Sordariomycetes. Its description in RNAcentral is "sequence contains ITS1". The record is from RNAcentral. Lineage: Eukaryota; Fungi; Ascomycota; Sordariomycetes.
GGAAGCAGGCGCUCAGGCGCCCUUCUCUCCCUUAAACCAUGUGGUCCUAUGCCAUGCCUCGGGGGGGUCAAGCGGCCUAGGCCGUGGGGUCCUCUGUGGCCCGCCCCCCCGCGUCUGCCGUGCCUCGGGCGAGUCCGCUCGUCUGGGCCGGCAAGCUUCAGUCUUGGAGUGAUGAUUGUGUCUGAUCAGUCCAGUGGACAGAAUUAUUA